UGGAUACCAACCUUGCCAGCGCAAGAUCAGCCUGAUCACGAAGAUCGAUUCCUAUCUGCAAUCGAAGAACGAACAAGAAAGAGAGGCGAGCAAUCUAAAUAUCACUCGAAGGUGGAGUUCUGAAUCACACAACGACAGCGCGUAUUUGCGCGUGUUCGAGAGUAGCUAAAGCUAGAUGUAAAACAAAACUCAAGUCGUAAACAAAAGGGACUCCGACUAAAUAAAGGGGGCGCAGCCCCUGGAGUCCGGAGGAGGCGCCACGGCAGGAGGGGGCGCGCGCGACCAGGGGGAGGCCGCGGCUCCCAACCCUAGGCGCCCCAACUGGGCUGCCCUGUUGGGCCAUCUUCUUAUUCCGCUAGGCCUUCGUUCCUUAACAGCAUGAUGAAGUUUAAUUCUCUCGUACGGGCCCAAGUGAUUGGCCCAACUGGGUGAUCAAUUGUAGGC
This 444-nucleotide long non-coding RNA is filed under the name Setaria viridis. RNAcentral describes it as "long non-coding RNA (SVIR_LNC009196)". Lineage: Eukaryota; Viridiplantae; Streptophyta; Magnoliopsida; Poales; Poaceae. The record is from RNAcentral.